UCACGUGGUUUUGGGUUUUAGAUUCGCCACUUCCGAGUAAUUGAGUAAUUGGAUAUAACAAAAAUAUAAAACAAAGUAACUUUGCUAAAAGUUAUUUUAAAAAUAUUUCUAUACAAUUACUUUUAAUUUUUUUUUUCUUUUGUUAUCUCCAAAUACUAUCACAAAAAGUAAGAAAUAUCUAUCUUUUAAAAUGGCUGGCCUGACCCUCAAACUAACCAGAAAUAACCCGCCUUUUUUUUCUUUAUUGUUCAUAUGGAUCGUAGCUCACGUUCACAUCGCUCUUCACCACAGCCAGGGAGAAGGCUUCUCCUGCAAUCGCGUCCCUCCUACGAACUCCGCUGCAUCCUCCUCCGACCGACGCUCCAGAUCACCGUUGCCGGCGCCGGCUACUCUCCAUCUCUGAUCUGAUUGCAAACUGAGAAAGCUUCCAUUGAAAUGGAGACGUUGCAGUAUCAGAGAAUGAUGGAAGAACAAGCGGAAUAUGAUCAAGAAGCCAUAAUUCAGAUACUUAAAGGUAUAUGCUUAUUCUCAAGGAGAAAUUAAGAUAUUAAGAUGAUGGAAAAAAAGCUUAAGAUUUAUAGAGAGAAAUAUGGAGAAAUUAACAAGGAACACUACAAGGAAAAAGGUUAUUACCGGCGACAAAAGUCGCCGGUAAGAAUCUCAAAAGUCGUUGGUAAUAUUAAUAGCGGCGACGCGUCGCCGGUACUGAGUCGUCGCUACUGUUUCGUCGCUAUUGGUCACUAUGUCACCGCUAAUGAGUUAUGUCGCCGCUAAUAAGUAUGUCGCCGGUAAUAAUACUCGCCGAUUUCAGCUUUAUAGGAUGUUGAAUAACUUGGAAAAUCUCAUACAUUCGACUAUAGAUGAUGUGGGUGUUCACGAUGAUAAAGAUAUAGAAGAAGAAAAGAAGGCAAGCUUGGAAAGAGAGAUGUUUUUGAUUAAGGAAAGAAUCAGUGUAAUGGAAUCAUAUAGUGGAUACUUGAAGCACACUGAAAUGACACUCCAAAAGGGUGAUGAAUGAGAUGACCUUCUUACAGAGAUAACUCAAAAUCUUUGAAAGCUCAGGACAUGAAAAAACACAUAGUAAAAUUAAAUUAAUAGUCUUAAAUUUUGACCAUUUUGUUUUAGUUUUUGAUAGGAAAAAAAAAAUUAACAAAUAAGCAAGGUGAGGUGAUUUUGCAUGCCUGGAGAGGUGCUCAGUAAGGGUAGUGACAAGUAGAAAAUCAAAAGGUCAGUAAAAUUUUCCUCACAUUGGCAUUUCCAUACUUCCUCAAGCACUCAUCAUAAAAUCCAUACCUGAAAGGAGACAUGAAAGUCAUGGAAUUCUUUGCAUUGUUCAAACUUAAAAGACCAUUGUAGAAGCACACACUCCAUCUUAGAUUCGUAUUUUACGUCAUUCGGCGUCGUGCCGGUUCUGUCGCGAAACUUCGACAUGUCAUAACUUCUUCGUUAUAACUCGAAUUUCGGCAUUCUAUAUAUAUUCGGAAACCUCGUUUCAACUACUACAACCUUAUCCAUAUAUAUAGGCUUUAUCUAACAUUUUAUUUUGACGCUUAUUUUCAUUCUUAAUUUAAUUAAGUCACACAACUAAGCACAAAACACAUAAUACUCAAAAAAUACAUCUUUAUUAUUUCAAGAUGGGUUACAAAGGUUAACCUAGACUAUUAAAUCGCUAUUAAUGACAAGCCCAUAAACACAGGCGUUACAAUUGUCUUCACCUUAGAAUGAUUCCAUCCCCGGAAUCACACAUCAACAAACAAAUGCGGGUAGCGACUCAUCAUGUCACUCUCCGUCUCCCAGGUGAGAUUCGGCCCAUUCGUGUGUUUCCAUCGGACAAGCACUAACUCGACCAUCUUGCGUCGCAACUUCCUAGUCUUUCGGUCAACGAUUGCCUCUGGUUCUUCAAUCAACCUUUUGUUCUCAUCAAUUCUCAACUCCGAAAGUGGAAUCAUGUCGGGAACUUUUCCCGUGAACUUCCUCAAAUAACACACAUGGAAAGUGUUAUGAAUUCCAUUCAGUUCUUCUGGUAGUUCGAGCUUGUAAGCUUGGUUUCCAAUCCUCUAAAGAACUUUAAACGGUCUAAUAAUCCUUGGACUUAAUUUUCCCCUUUUAUCAAAUCUUAUAAGUCCCUUCCACAGCGAGACUUAAAGCAAAACCGAAUCUCCAACUUCAAAAGUCAUCAGUCUUCGCUUGUUGUCAGCGUAGCUCUUUUGAAGAUCCUGAGAUGCUAACAUUCUUUCCCUAAUUAUUUUCAACUUUUCAGCAGUUUGAUGGACUAUCUCCAAUCCCAUAAACUGCUUUUCCCCAGCCUCAAGCCAACAAGACGGCUUAUGACACUUUUGCCCGUACAAAGCUUGAUAAGGUGCCAUCUUAAUGCUCAAGUGGAAACUAUUAUUGUAGGAAAAUUCUACCAAAGGUAAAUGUUCAUCCCAAUUACCUUGGAAUUCCAGGGUACAUGCUCUCAGCAUAUCUUCAAGUGUUUGUAUCGUCCGUUUGCUCUGACCAUCAGUCUGUGGAUGGUAAGCUGUACUUAAACGCAACUUGGUACCUAAUUCCUCUUGUAGACAUUUCCAAAAUCGUGAGGUGAAACGGCUAUCACGAUCUGACACAAUCGUUAACAGAACACCGUGAAGCCUCAUAAUUUCCUUCACGUAAGAAUUCGCAAGCUUAUCCAUAGACCACUUCUCCUUGGCUGCUAUGAAAUGCGCACUCUUAGUGAAUCGAUCAACGACCACCCAAAUCAUGUCGUGACCAUUCUUUGUUAUGGGUAGUUUAGUUACAAAAUCCAUAGAAAUGUCUUCCCAUUUACCCAUAGGAACAAGUAAAGGUUCGAAACUCCCAUAUGGUUUUUGAUGUUAUGUCUUGACUCUCGCACAAGUCACACACUCAGCCACAUACUUUGCAACAGCAAGCUUCAUCGUCGGCCACCAGUAGUAAGGUUUCAGGUCCCUAUACAUUUUAGUGCUACCGGGAUGAAUCGAGUACAUGGUCUUGUGAGCUUCUUCCAUCAGAAUAUCUUUGACUCCUCCUGUCUUAGGUAUCCAAAUCCGAUCUUGGAACACCUUCAGUCCAUGACUGUUUACACCGAACACCAACGUUUUUCUCAAACGUUCCUCCUUUCGGUCAUUCUUCUCAGAAGCUUCCUCUUGAGCUUUCUUUAUACUUUCCACAAUGGUCGAGACAACUUCAAUUCUCAACGCUUUUGGCCUCUUCCUUUCAAGAUUGACUUUCCGACUGAGAGCACCAACAACAACAUUUGCUUUACCGGGGUAGUAAAGUAUCUCGCAGUCAUAGUCCUUAAGUAACUCUAGCCAACGUCGUUGCCUCAUAUUCAAUUCUUUCUGAUUAAAGAGAUAUUGGAGACUCUUAUAAUCAGUGAAAAGUUUGCACUUCGUGCCACAAAGGUAAUGCCUCCGUAUCUUCAGAGCGAAAACUACCGCUGCCAACUCCAAAUCAUGAGUCGGGUAGUUCUUUUCAUGCUCUUUCAACCGUUGAGACGCAUAUGCGAUCACCUCUACCCUUUGGGUCAAAACGCAACCCAAUCCAACCCCAGACGCAUCGCUAUAAACAACGAAGUCUCAACUCCAUCGGACAGAGAAAAUAUUGGUACCUCGCAUAGUUUCUUCUUUAGCUUCUCGAAUGCUUCUUUAUGCUUAUCACUCCAAACAUAAGUAGCUCCUUUGUGGGUCAAAGCUGUCAACAGGCUAGCGAUCGAAGAAAAGCCUUGGAUAAACCUUCGGUAAUAUCCGGCUAAUCCCAAAAAUCUUCGGAUCUCCGUAGGACUUAAUGGUGGUUCCCACUUGUAACGGCUGUGUUUUUGGGCUUGUGAUUAAUAGCGAUUUAAUAGUCUAGUUUAACCUUUGUAACCCAUCUUUAAAUAAUAAAGAUGUAUUAUUUGAGUAUUAUGUGUUUUGUGCUUAGUUGUGUGACUUAAUUAAAUUAAGAAUGAAAAUAAGCGUCAAAAAUAAAAUGUUAGAUAAAGCCUAUAUAUAUGGAUAAGGUUGUAGUAGUUGAAACGAGGUUUACGAAUAUAUAUAGAAUGCCGAAAUCCGAGUUAUAACGAAGAAGUUAUGACAUGUCGAAGUUUCGCGACAGAACCGGCACGACGCCGAAUGACGUAAGAUACGAAUCUAAGAUAGAGCGAUAUCUAGCCUUAGUAAUCUAAACAAAAGUCAUAGAGUUCGUUAAACCGAGAGCGUGCAUAAAAAGAAUGCCCAAAUCUGACUUCGUAUGAGGAAGUUAUGAUUUUUCGAAGUUUCGGCUUAGCAGUAGACAGCCCGGAUACUCGAUUUGAGAUCGAGCGGUUUUUAGCCGAAACAAUCUAAACGAGAAUCGAAGAUCUCAUCAAUGGUAGUGCAACGGUAAAAUGAUAGACGAAAACGGACGUCGGAUGAAGAAGUUAUGAAUUUCAAACGGAGUUUUCCUGUCUCGGCCUACUAAAAAUAAUAUAUUUAUAAUAUAAUAAAAAUAAAUUCAAAAGUAGCCAACGGAUUCUAAAAGAGAGUUGUAGAUCAUAAUCUCACCUACGCGUGGAUAUAAAGAACGUCGAAAACGGAACUCGUAUGCGAAAGAUAUGAAUUUCUGAAGUUCGGGGCACGAACUUCCACCCCUGUCAGAGGUCACGAGGUGAGCAUUAAGUGGCUCACGAGGUGAGCAGAUGAUGGACGUUUUCUAGGGCAUGUGGCCAUAACAAACUCAAUGACGUAUCGAGCCCACGAGGUGAAUAUUAUAAACUCACGAGGUGAGUUUAGCAUUUUCUCCCUAUAAAUAGAAUUCAAGGGUGAGCCGAUUUAGGUUGCUCAUCUCUUACUCUCCCACUCCCGAUACAAUCUCUAAGCCCUAUUUUAACCCCCUGAAGCCCUGGUAUCAUUCCCGAGACCCGAAGCCUGAAGAUCCCAAGAAGAAAAGAGUUUCCAAGCCGAAGCUCUGCCUGCGAGAAGCCCGGUGUGUGAAGAUCUUCCAGAUCUAUCGAAAAAUACUACUUCUACAAGUCGUAGUGCUGUCUGAUCAUCUUCUGAUCAAGUAGUGGCGCGAGGGCAUAAGAUGGAUGUAUCAUCAAGUUGUUUUGUUUACAAGUCUGUAUAUGUAUAUAUUUUUUGAAUGACUUGUCAUGUUAUCGUUUAUGCUUUAUGGUAUGUAUCGGAACAUGACAUCCUGAGUUUUGAUUAUAUAAUGAAAAUGUAUCUGUUGAUGAAA
Long non-coding RNA from Lactuca sativa (garden lettuce), 5193 nucleotides. RefSeq lists it as uncharacterized. The record is from RefSeq and is a predicted model, not a curated record. Lineage: Eukaryota; Viridiplantae; Streptophyta; Magnoliopsida; Asterales; Asteraceae.